GUUAAUUAUGAUUUUUGAGUCCUAUCUCAGAUACCCUCACCGGCCUCUGGAACCUAAUUAAGCAGCUUGAGUGUGUGUGACAGCAUCAUCUACAGAAAUAUUUAACUGGUCUGAACAGCGCACACAAAUCCUGAAAAAGAUGGGACGGUCAACAUGCUGCUGAAAAAGGCGUACUGAGACCUGGAGAAAGGCGAGCAGAUAGCUGUACAAAUCUGCCCCCCAGUUGGUUUCUCCUCUCCAGUGACUCAGGUGCUGAUCUCCUUCUAUCUUUACCAGCAGCACCACAAGGAGCAAGAACACAGAGCUAUCCAGGGAAAUUACCCUGUCGACAGACGGCACAUUGAGACUUCGUUAGCACAACCAUCCAACCUAGUGCCUCUCCAGCCUGAUCGAACUGAGCAACUCUCCAUGACAGAGUAAACAAAGCAGAAUCACCGGCAUGAUGAGGAAAAGAAGGUCUUUUUCAUUUGAUUCAAUUGCUGCAAAUCCCUGAAUACCCAUGUGGUUUUGUGUAUCAUAAACUUCAAUGAGGGUAUGUGAGUGGAAAGCCACAAGUGGAAAUAUGUCCCUUUGUUCUUAUUAUGAAUCUAUAUCUUUGCAUGUAUGCGUUUGUGUGUUUUUCUGCAUAUGUUUUUGUUUGUGCGUGUUUUUUAUGAGGGUAUUUUAUAUGUAAAUUUGACUUUCUGCAUGCGAUGCACCUGUAUACAAUGAGUCCAUAUUGAUAUUUACCUUAUAAUGGAUUUUCUAGGUGGGGUGUUUGUAUUCAUGCAAAUAUUUGUGUAUGUGUGCUUCUCUGUGCGUGUGUGUCUGUUUGUGUGCUUCAGGCAGAGGAGAAUGUCUGUGUUGAGUAAAAAGAAGAAGCGGAGGAGAGGUAUAAGUCAGAGCCUGUGAGUAAACAACCUGCAGUAGCUACAGCUAGUGUCAGUCUUCCUACCUCGCCUCCAUGGCUGCCGUGCCUUCCUCCUUUACUUUCCAUCCUCUGCGCUUAAACAAACACACACAGCAAUUGUGCUGCCAAGUUACUGAAAAACUCGUUCAGCAAACUUCCGGGCUCCUGCAACUCUGCUCAGCUUUUUGUGCCUAAAUUGAUAAUUGAAUUGACUAUCGCCAUGUAAUCAAUUAGGGUGUUCAUCCCCGGCUCUGAUUCAAACAGUUAAUUGGCUUGUGCCACAGAGAGGCUGAGACGAAGAGCUGACUGGUGCAGGAGGGACUGUUGGAUUACUACAGAUGGGCUCAGACCUAUUUGCAUUGUGUCUGACUUUAAGUCCUUGAUUGCCUUUCCUGGUUCAGAAAUUGCCUGGAUGCGAGCAGCACACAGGUUGUAAAAGGACCUCGGUGACAAAUUCUGCCUGUUUAAGUGAAGAGGGUGAGGAUACAUAUAGAGUGUGCACAGCGGG
Molecule: long non-coding RNA, 1397 nt
Filed under: Xyrichtys novacula (pearly razorfish)
Lineage: Eukaryota; Metazoa; Chordata; Actinopteri; Labriformes; Labridae
Source: RNAcentral